This 464-nucleotide ribosomal RNA is filed under the name uncultured bacterium. RNAcentral describes it as "partial 16S ribosomal RNA". It matches the Rfam family "Bacterial small subunit ribosomal RNA", at positions 28 to 507 of the family's 1533-position model. The record is from RNAcentral.
GACGAACGCUGGCGGCGUGCUUAACACAUGCAAGUCGAACGGAAAGGCCCCAUUGGGGGUACUCGAGUGGCGAACGGGUGAGUAACACGUGAGUAACCUGCCCUUGACUUCGGGAUAACUUCAGGAAACUGGGGCUAAUACCGGAUAGGAAUCCUUGCUGCAUGGUGGGGGUUGGAAAGCUUCGGCGGUUUUGGAUGGACUCGCGGCUUAUCAGCUUGUUGGUGGGGUAGUGGCUUACCAAGGCUUUGACGGGUAGCCGGCCUGAGAGGGCGACCGGCCACAUUGGGACUGAGAUACGGCCCAGACUCCUACGGGAGGCAGCAGUGGGGAAUAUUGCACAAUGGGCGGAAGCCUGAUGCAGCAACGCCGCGUGCGGGAUGACGGCCUUCGGGUUGUAAACCGCUUUCAGCAGGGGCGAAGCUUUUGUGACGGUACCUGCAGAAGAAGCACCGGCUAACUACGUG